RNAcentral lists this transfer RNA (73 nucleotides) under Candidatus Woesearchaeota archaeon. RNAcentral describes it as "tRNA-Gln". It matches the Rfam family "tRNA". Rfam says of the family: Transfer RNA (tRNA) molecules are approximately 80 nucleotides in length. Their secondary structure includes four short double-helical elements and three loops (D, anti-codon, and T loops). Further hydrogen bonds mediate the characteristic L-shaped molecular structure. tRNAs have two regions of fundamental functional importance: the anti-codon, which is responsible for specific mRNA codon recognition, and the 3' end, to which the tRNAs corresponding amino acid is attached (by aminoacyl-tRNA synthetases). tRNAs cope with the degeneracy of the genetic code in two manners: having more than one tRNA (with a specific anti-codon) for a particular amino acid; and 'wobble' base-pairing, i.e. permitting non-standard base-pairing at the 3rd anti-codon position. The record is from RNAcentral. Lineage: Archaea; Nanobdellati; Candidatus Woesearchaeota.
AGUCCCGUAGUCUAGCGGUCAAGGAUAGCGGACUCUGGAUCCGUUGACCCAGGUUCGAAUCCUGGCGGGACUA